GAUGAACGCUGGCGGCGUGCUUAACACAUGCAAGUCGAACGAAGCACCUUGAUUUGAUUCUUCGGAUGAAGAUCUUGGUGACUGAGUGGCGGACGGGUGAGUAACGCGUGGGUAACCUGCCUUGUACAGGGGGAUAACAGUUGGAAACGGCUGCUAAUACCGCAUAAGCGCACGGCAUCGCAUGAUGCAGUGUGAAAAACUCCGGUGGUAUAAGAUGGACCCGCGUUGGAUUAGCUAGUUGGUGAGGUAACGGCCCACCAAGGCGACGAUCCAUAGCCGACCUGAGAGGGUGACCGGCCACAUUGGGACUGAGACACGGCCCAAACUCCUACGGGAGGCAGCAGUGGGGAAUAUUGCACAAUGGGCGAAAGCCUGAUGCAGCGACGCCGCGUGAGCGAAGAAGUAUUUCGGUAUGUAAAGCUCUAUCAGCAGGGAAGA
This 438-nucleotide ribosomal RNA is filed under the name uncultured bacterium. RNAcentral describes it as "bacterial SSU rRNA". It matches the Rfam family "Bacterial small subunit ribosomal RNA", at positions 28 to 448 of the family's 1533-position model. The record is from RNAcentral.